Calypte anna (Anna's hummingbird) is the source of this 159-nucleotide long non-coding RNA. RefSeq lists it as uncharacterized. NCBI's taxonomy places the organism in Eukaryota, Metazoa, Chordata, Aves, Apodiformes, Trochilidae. The transcript is spliced from 3 exons. The record is from RefSeq and is a predicted model, not a curated record.
AUCCAUAAAGGCAGGAGUGACUGCUUAUACCAGUGAUUUUUAAGAGGAUCUGUGCAAGAGUCAAGAGGGAAUAUCAGCAGAAAUCUAUGGGACCACUUCACAAGAUUAUUCUGUGGCUCCCAUGUGUCUUGUAGCCAGAAGAGAUCCAUAACCUGUGAG